This 482-nucleotide ribosomal RNA is filed under the name uncultured bacterium. Its description in RNAcentral is "partial 16S ribosomal RNA". It matches the Rfam family "Bacterial small subunit ribosomal RNA", at positions 30 to 507 of the family's 1533-position model. The record is from RNAcentral.
AUUGAACGCUGGCGGCAUGCUUUACACAUGCAAGUCGAACGGCAGCGCGGGGCAACCUGGCGGCGAGUGGCGAACGGGUGAGUAAUAUAUCGGAACGUACCCAGAAGUGGGGGAUAACGUAGCGAAAGUUACGCUAAUACCGCAUACGAUCUACGGAUGAAAGUAGGGGACCGCAAGGCCUUAUGCUUUUGGAGCGGCCGAUAUCUGAUUAGCUAGUUGGUGAGGUAAAGGCUCGCCAAGGCGACGAUCAGUAGCUGGUCUGAGAGGACGACCAGCCACACUGGAACUGAGACACGGUCCAGACUCCUACGGGAGGCAGCAGUGGGGAAUUUUGGACAAUGGGCGCAAGCCUGAUCCAGCAAUGCCGCGUGAGUGAAGAAGGCCUUCGGGUUGUAAAGCUCUUUUGUCAGGGAAGAAACGGUAGAGGCUAAUAUCCUUUGCUAAUGACGGUACCUGAAGAAUAAGCACCGGCUAACUACGUG